AACGAACGCUGGCGGCGUGUUUAAGACAUGCAAGUCGCACGGGAUAAGACAUGUAGUAAUACUUGUUUUAUUUAGUGGCGCACGGGUGAGUAACACGUGCAUUACAUGCCCUAUAGUGGGGACUCGCCCAGGGAAACUUGGAUUAAUACCGCAUGGUAUCGAAAGAUUAAAGGUGGCCGCAAGGUUGUAGAUAUAGGAUGUGUUCGCGCCCUAUCAGCUUGUCGGUGAGGUAACGGCUCACCAAGGAAAUGACGGGUACCUGGUCUGAGAGGGCGAUCAGGCACACUGGAACUGAGACACGGUCCAGACACCUACGGGUGGCAGCAGUCGAUAAUAAUUCACAAUGGGGGCAACCCUGAUGGUGCAACGCCGCGUGGAGGAUGACGGUCUUCGGAGUGUAAACUCCUGUCAUCUGGGAGAAAGACCUGACGGUAAAUAGCCGGCAGGGUUGAUAGUACCAGAAGAGGAAGGGACGGCUAACUUCGUGCCAGCAGCCGCCGUAA
Molecule: ribosomal RNA, 503 nt
Filed under: uncultured bacterium
Lineage: Bacteria
Description: partial 16S ribosomal RNA
Rfam family: Bacterial small subunit ribosomal RNA
Source: RNAcentral